UUUUUUUAUGGAGAGUUUGAUCCUGGCUCAGGACGAACGCUGGCGGCGUGCUUAACACAUGCAAGUCGAACGGAAAGGCCUAGCUUGCUAGGUACUCGAGUGGCGAACGGGUGAGUAACACGUGGGUGAUCUGCCUCGUACUUCGGGAUAAGCCUGGGAAACUGGGUCUAAUACUGGAUAGGACCAUGCUUUAGUGUGUGUGGUGGAAAGUUUUUUCGGUACGAGAUGAGCCCGCGGCCUAUCAGCUUGUUGGUGGGGUAAUGGCCUACCAAGGCGUCGACGGGUAGCCGGCCUGAGAGGGUGGACGGCCACAUUGGGACUGAGAUACGGCCCAGACUCCUACGGGAGGCAGCAGUGGGGAAUAUUGCACAAUGGGCGCAAGCCUGAUGCAGCGACGCCGCGUGGGGGAUGACGGCCUUCGGGUUGUAAACCUCUUUCGCUAGGGACGAAGCUUUUUGUGACGGUACCUAGAUAAGAAGCACCGGCUAACUACGUGCCAGCAGCCGCGGUAAUACGUAGGGUGCGAGCGUUGUCCGGAAUUACUGGGCGUAAAGAGCUCGUAGGUGGUUUGUCGCGUCGUCUGUGAAAUUCCGGGGCUUAACUUCGGGCGUGCAGGCGAUACGGGCAUAACUUGAGUGCUGUAGGGGAGACUGGAAUUCCUGGUGUAGCGGUGGAAUGCGCAGAUAUCAGGAGGAACACCGAUGGCGAAGGCAGGUCUCUGGGCAGUAACUGACGCUGAGGAGCGAAAGCAUGGGGAGCGAACAGGAUUAGAUACCCUGGUAGUCCAUGCCGUAAACGGUGGGCGCUAGGUGUGAGGGUCUUCCACGACUUUCGUGCCGUAGCUAACGCAUUAAGCGCCCCGCCUGGGGAGUACGGCCGCAAGGCUAAAACUCAAAGGAAUUGACGGGGGCCCGCACAAGCGGCGGAGCAUGUGGAUUAAUUCGAUGCAACGCGAAGAACCUUACCUGGGCUUGACAUAUGCAGGAUCGGCGUAGAGAUACGUUUUCCCUUGUGGUCUGUAUACAGGUGGUGCAUGGUUGUCGUCAGCUCGUGUCGUGAGAUGUUGGGUUAAGUCCCGCAACGAGCGCAACCCUUGUCUUAUGUUGCCAGCACGUGAUGGUGGGGACUCAUGAGAGACUGCCGGGGUUAACUCGGAGGAAGGUGGGGAUGACGUCAAAUCAUCAUGCCCCUUAUGUCCAGGGCUUCACACAUGCUACAAUGGUCGGUACAACGCGCUGCGAGCCUGUGAGGGUGAGCGAAUCGCUGAAAGCCGGCCUCAGUUCGGAUUGGGGUCUGCAACUCGACCCCAUGAAGUCGGAGUCGCUAGUAAUCGCAGAUCAGCAACGCUGCGGUGAAUACGUUCCCGGGCCUUGUACACACCGCCCGUCACGUCAUGAAAGUUGGUAACACCCGAAGCCAGUGGCCUAACCCUUGUGGGGGGAGCUGUCGAAGGUGGGACCGGCGAUUGGGACGAAGUCGUAACAAGGUAGCCGUACCGGAAGGUGCGGCUGGAUCACCUCCUUUCUAAGGAG
RNAcentral lists this ribosomal RNA (1532 nucleotides) under Corynebacterium diphtheriae. Its description in RNAcentral is "bacterial SSU rRNA". It matches the Rfam family "Bacterial small subunit ribosomal RNA". The record is from RNAcentral. RNAcentral also lists the same sequence under 2 other names. Lineage: Bacteria; Bacillati; Actinomycetota; Actinomycetes; Mycobacteriales; Corynebacteriaceae.